Molecule: non-coding RNA, 853 nt
Organism: Ciona intestinalis (vase tunicate)
Lineage: Eukaryota; Metazoa; Chordata; Ascidiacea; Phlebobranchia; Cionidae
Source: RefSeq, a predicted model, not a curated record
AAAGGUAAUUUUCGGCAUACACGAGGUAUCAUUGGGGCCCAUAAGCAACAUUUUGAACACCAGCUAAAUGAUUACCGUUAUUCCUUAAAACAAACGUGGAUUCGCAAGACAUAAACCACACAAACACUUACAUCCAACGUCCACGCCUCAAAGUAGGCCAUCACGUGAUUAAUCAGACCACGUGACGGGAAAAUUGUAUUUUGUCCAAUCAGCAUCACAAACCAGCGGUUGGAAAAGAAAAAGGCAAAUGUCUAAAUUAUGGAUAGGCAAACUUACAUUUCCAGUUUUUACGAAAAGAACAAAUGCAUAUAUACAUUAUUUAUCACUGCGCGUUCAUCGUGUAACCCAUCAAACAUUUCUUUUUAGAAAAAGUUGUUUUGUGACACUUUUACCGUUUAAUAGUGGUACUAUUAUAACUUUUUGUACAAAAAAAUGUCACACAACCCUGGCAUAGGACAACUUUUCACUCUAUUUUCCUAUUUUGCAGUAAGCAAAGAACAUUCAAGCAAUUAUAAACCGUAUCCUCACGACUUCCAUAAACCGUUGUUAAUUUAAUUUAAAACACGAUCAGGAUAUUUGAGUAUUUUGUGCUAAGGGUGCCCCAUCUUUCCCCACCCUACUAUAUACUAGAUCAGGGUAAUAUGGUUUUGUUUUCCUUUUUUCUUGCUAUUUGGAAACAAGAACUUUUACUUUUAAAUAGCGUUGGUAAUUGUUAAAAAACACAGUAGGGAAAGGUGGUAUCGCUACAUACGACAUAUAUAUUAGUAUCUUUGUAAUUUUACCUCCCAUCUUUUCUGUUUUAGCUUUCUUAUGUUUGACUGCAACCGAAAUAUAAAAUAUACAUAUAUUUAAA